RNAcentral lists this ribosomal RNA (253 nucleotides) under uncultured bacterium. RNAcentral describes it as "partial 16S ribosomal RNA". It matches the Rfam family "Bacterial small subunit ribosomal RNA", at positions 524 to 776 of the family's 1533-position model. The record is from RNAcentral.
UACGUAGGUGGCAAGCGUUGUUCGGAAUUAUUGGGCGUAAAGGGCGCGUAGGCGGUUUGUCGCGUCGGGAGUGAAAACACCGGGCUUAACUCGGUGCUUGCUUUCGAUACGGGCAGACUAGAGGUAUGCAGGGGAGAACGGAAUUCCUGGUGUAGCGGUGAAAUGCGCAGAUAUCAGGAGGAACACCGGUGGCGAAGGCGGUUCUCUGGGCAUUACCUGACGCUGAGGAGCGAAAGUGUGGGGAGCGAACAGG